CCCAACCCAGAUGGACCCGUCCACCCGGUCUCUAGCGUGGGUUGGAGCCGGACCAGUGUGACCAUACGACGGAAGUGGCAGACUGGUUUGGUUUCCGGUCCGACUGGUCAAAACCACGACACAGCAAUAGAUCCAAAGGAAAAAGAAGGCGAAGGCGGCGGCGCCUGCGCUUCGGCGGCCAACUGUGGGGGCGAACGUCGGAGGCGGCUGCGGUGGCUGCUGCGUCUGCAGCGGAUGGCGGCGACGCCCGGCGGCUGGGACGAAGAUGCCGCGCGACGGUCUCGCUCGAGGCCUCGAGGUGGAGGCCACCGCAUCUUCCCAUAGAGACCUAUGCCAACAAGGUCCAUUACUCUUUUCAUAUGUGUUCCUUGUGUCAUGGAUUGUUUUCACCUAUGAACCCUAGCUCAGAUUGAGAUUAGAUUUAGUUUGCAAAGAAAGCGAUGGGUGCAAGAUUCAAUCCGUUCUUUAUUUGUGAUGAUGAAAUCCCACAUUAGUCCAUUUGUUGUUGUAUCCAACAAUUUCUCUAACGAGUCCUGAAAUGCAUGCUAAAAUGGACUUGCAUCCUUACUGAACAUAUUGUAUGUGUUGUCUGAAAAAGACAGGUCAGUAUCCAAUUGUUCAGGUUGCAACGAAGUCUUGACAGCAAAUAAGAUAUACGUGUUAUCAGAUUCACUUGUCAAGUAGUCAGAUUUCACUGAUUUUGAAGGAUAGCAAUUUCUAACAAGGUGCGUUCCUGCAGAGACAUGGCACUCCAAUGUUAGGAUUCCAGCUUCUAUUUUGUGCUUUAGAAAUAUGAUGCUUCUGUUCGUGCCCCCAUCAAGAAGAUGCUUUUCUGCGGGGUGUAUUUAACCUGUUACUUGUUGCAUCCUUACCAGGAAAAAUGGCUGCAAUUUGUGUUUCGUUACAAUGAGUAGCUUGUGUUCUAUCUUGGUGCUUAAUCGACGUGGUUUAUUCAUGAUCUUGUCUGCUCAGUUUUGUUCCGGAUGUCAAUUUGGCAAGGCUAGUGCAAUUAUACAGAUCAGAGUUUGUGCAUGAGUGUUGCAGGUCUCAACAUGGAGACUGAAAAAUUAAUAAGUAAAAGUUCACAUGACCGCGUUGGCUCCAGAACAAACGAAUUCUUCCUCCCUCAUGAAUGAAUCUUGCUUUUGUGCUUGUGAUGGCAGAUUCAUGGAUGGGAAUAGAUCACCUGGAGGUUGCUUGAUGCAAGCCAAGCUUGUUUGGCUUCACAUUUCCUUCGGUUGAUCUCUAUAUCUUGGGCUAGUAGCUGCUAUUGGACUAGCACUCUGAUCACAAUGCAGCUCCUUGUUGUAAUGUAUGGCACGUGUUACAUGCCAUACAUGCCCAGUUACAUGUGGCUGCGCACAGUUACAUGCCCGGCACGUGUUGCUACUUGAAAUGCUACGAUGUGUUCCAUUUGGGCAGGAAAUGUUUCACUUUCUGAAAUUUAUGUAACUUGCAUUCCUACAGAGACAUGGCACUCCAAUGUUAUGCUUUCACAUGGCAAGGAUUAUUUAUGUAGAAAUUAUAAUGUUUUUUUGGUCA
Molecule: long non-coding RNA, 1542 nt
Organism: Panicum virgatum (switchgrass)
Lineage: Eukaryota; Viridiplantae; Streptophyta; Magnoliopsida; Poales; Poaceae
Exons: 2
Source: RefSeq, a predicted model, not a curated record